GAUGAACGCUGGCGGCGUGCCUAAUACAUGCAAGUCGAGCGAACAGAUAAGGAGCUUGCUCCUUUGACGUUAGCGGCGGACGGGUGAGUAACACGUGGGUAACCUACCUAUAAGACUGGAAUAACUCCGGGAAACCGGGGCUAAUGCCGGAUAACAUGUUGAACCGCAUGGUUCUACAGUGAAAGACGGUCUUGCUGUCACUUAUAGAUGGACCCGCGCCGUAUUAGCUAGUUGGUGGGGUAACGGCCUACCAAGGCGACGAUACGUAGCCGACCUGAGAGGGUGAUCGGCCACACUGGAACUGAGACACGGUCCAGACUCCUACGGGAGGCAGCAGUAGGGAAUCUUCCGCAAUGGGCGAAAGCCUGACGGAGCAACGCCGCGUGAGUGAUGAAGGUCUUCGGAUCGUAAAGCUCUGUUGUUAGGGAAGAACAAAUGUGUAAGUAACUGUGCACAUCUUGACGGUACCUAACCAGAAAGCCACGGCUAACUACGUGCCAGCAGCCGCGGUAAUACGUAGGUGGCAAGCGUUAUCCGGAAUUAUUGGGCGUAAAGCGCGCGUAGGCGGUUUUUUAAGUCUGAUGUGAAAGCCCACGGCUCAACCGUGGAGGGUCAUUGGAAACUGGAAAACUUGAGUGCAGAAGAGGAAAGUGGAAUUCCAUGUGUAGCGGUGAAAUGCGCAGAGAUAUGGAGGAACACCAGUGGCGAAGGCGGCUUUCUGGUCUGCAACUGACGCUGAUGUGCGAAAGCGUGGGGAUCAAACAGGAUUAGAUACCCUGGUAGUCCACGCCGUAAACGAUGAGUGCUAAGUGUUAGGGGGUUUCCGCCCCUUAGUGCUGCAGCUAACGCAUUAAGCACUCCGCCUGGGGAGUACGGUCGCAAGACUGAAACUCAAAGGAAUUGACGGGGACCCGCACAAGCGGUGGAGCAUGUGGUUUAAUU
This 942-nucleotide ribosomal RNA is filed under the name Staphylococcus pseudintermedius. RNAcentral's name for it is "bacterial SSU rRNA". It matches the Rfam family "Bacterial small subunit ribosomal RNA", at positions 28 to 951 of the family's 1533-position model. Lineage: Bacteria; Bacillati; Bacillota; Bacilli; Caryophanales; Staphylococcaceae. The record is from RNAcentral.